CGUGUAGGCGGGAAGGUAAGUCGGGCGUGAAAUCCCUGAGCUCAACUCAGGAACUGCACUCGAAACUACUUUUCUUGAGUGCCGGAGAGGAAAGCGGAAUUCCUGGUGUAGAGGUGAAAUUCGUAGAUAUCAGGAGGAACACCAGUGGCGAAGGCGGCUUUCUGGACGGUAACUGACGCUGAGACGCGAAAGCGGUGGGGAAGCAAACAG
Molecule: ribosomal RNA, 210 nt
Filed under: uncultured bacterium
Lineage: Bacteria
Description: partial 16S ribosomal RNA
Rfam family: Bacterial small subunit ribosomal RNA
Source: RNAcentral